GACGAACGCUGGCGGCGUGCUUAACACAUGCAAGUCGAACGGUGAACUCCGCUUGCGGGGGGAUCAGUGGCGAACGGGUGAGUAACACGUGGGCAACCUGCCCUCAGCUCUGGGAUAACUCCAAGAAAUUGGGGCUAAUACCGGAUAUGACCGCUGACCGCAUGGUCUGGUGGUGGAAAGAUUUAUCGGCUGGGGAUGAGCCCGCGGCCUAUCAGCUUGUUGGUGGGGUAGUGGCCUACCAAGGCGACGACGGGUAGCCGGCCUGAGAGGGUGACCGGCCACACUGGGACUGAGACACGGCCCAGACUCCUACGGGAGGCAGCAGUGGGGAAUAUUGCGCAAUGGGCGAAAGCCUGACGCAGCGACGCCGCGUGGGGGAUGACGGCCUUCGGGUUGUAAACCUCUUUCAGCAGGGACGAAGCGAAAGUGACGGUACCUGCAGAAGAAGCACCGGCCAACUACGUG
This 465-nucleotide ribosomal RNA is filed under the name uncultured bacterium. RNAcentral's name for it is "partial 16S ribosomal RNA". It matches the Rfam family "Bacterial small subunit ribosomal RNA", at positions 28 to 507 of the family's 1533-position model. The record is from RNAcentral.